CCUUCUCCCCUUUCUAUCUUGUACUAAGUUUCAGUGCCGUUGAAGCACGAGCGCCCCUCCUCUCCUCUGAGUUGCGCCGAACGAAGACGCCAUUGCCGCCGGCGAGCGCGUAAAUGUAGCGGUGUUGUGUUGUAGCUGCAGGGAACGACGAGGAACUACCCAAAAAAGCCGGCUAUCUUCUGCGCCUCAAGAAUCUUAGGCUGUGCGGUUGAAUAGAACCUGACCAUCAUCCUUUACAACUCAGGAUCUGAGCAACCAUGGAGUCCAUGGGAAGUGCUACUCUAAGCAUUGGGUCAACUACGGCAAUGGGAGUUGAAGAUGAUGCCAACAGCUUCGCCCUGGGCACGAUCCAUCAGGUCGAAAAUGAUGGAAAUAGCUACCACACGCCAACACGAACUAGGAGUCUUCCGUUUUGUAUAUGAGCCCGAGUGUGAUCCUAAUUUACAACCCAAAAUUGGUAUGCAAUUUGACACCUGGGAGGAAGGUAUGGCAUUCUACAAAAUGUAUGCUCAUGAAGUCGGGUUCUCAGUUCGCACAUGGACGACACACAAAGAUGAACAUGGUGUAGUGUGGAAGAGGUUCGUUUGUGCUAGGGAGGGUUGGAGGAAGGUGGCCCGCGAAGAGGAAAGAAUAAAGCCUAAGCGAAAAUUCAAGUUAACCAGGUGUGGUUGUGAGGCUAUGAUUGGAGGAAGGUGGCUUAAUGUAGAUUUGAAGAUUUGGUUUGCCUUUCUGUGUUACUGUCAAUUGUAGCCAGCUUGCUAUAUGCCAUGCUCAUGUGACUACUUUCUGAAUUAGUGCAACCUUAUUACUAUGUGUAUUGAGCACUGUCCAUUUAUUUUCCUCUGUUUUUUGUUGCUCUGUAUUUUAGCAUCAUCAUCUGAAAAUAUAUCAAGAUAAGUGAGAACAUAUUCAUCUGUAAUCCUAUUAAGGUAACCAUCACCAUGCUUUCUAUUUUAAGUUUGUGAACCUGGAAAUGGUAUGACUGGUAUAUCUCUUUUCAAGUAGCAAUGUUACUCUGGAUGCUCUUAUUUAGAUUGUAUAUGAAGGCAUGUCUCAUCUUCAUGUAACUACCCCGUGAUUGCUAAUUUUUUGACGUUGGCAAAAAAUGCAAAAUUUUCAUGUAAUUUAUUAUUCGUGCAAGUAGAAAGCUCGACAGAUAUAACUUAGUAAUAUUAAGUACAAAAGAAGCAACUUUAUUAGUAACUGUUGUGAUGAUUUUUGUUUGUAAGUGGACAAAAGAGCUUUUGUUUUGUAAAAUUUUACGGAGUUAAGAGUGGUCUUGAGCUUCCUGUAGUGAUUCUGGAGAAGCCUACCUAGGAUCAGAUUAGCUCAUCUGGUCUGGAGUAGUAGUCUUGAGUCUGGAGCCUGGAGUGCAUAACUUGAGCAGUGGCAAAAUUUACCUUUAUUAGCAAAUGACCAGGCAUGUUGAACCUUGGAAAUUAUUGAAUGAGGUUAGUUCUCGUGUUCUGCUCCAGGUACAUGUCUGGAGCUGGUUAAGUCCAAAUUGUUUCUCUCUGUAAUGUAUAGAAUUACUUAAGCUCAUGCCCCC
Long non-coding RNA from Triticum aestivum (bread wheat), 1549 nucleotides. RefSeq lists it as uncharacterized. Lineage: Eukaryota; Viridiplantae; Streptophyta; Magnoliopsida; Poales; Poaceae. The record is from RefSeq and is a predicted model, not a curated record. The transcript is spliced from 5 exons.